UUAAGGUAAACAUGGUUUUUCAGUUAAGGCUAGUGUAUGAGCUUUAAAACAAAGAAAUGAGGAAAGCAUAGGCUCAAAAGGGUCAUCAAUGGAUCAAAACAGGGUAGGCUCAUUUGGCUAGAAGGGAUUAAUGGAGGUCGCACCCCAUGCAAAAUUUAAUGUGCAUAAAAGAAUGCAGCAUAGACUAGGAAUUGACUCCUAGGUCGUCUCUCAAGGACUAAAUCGCAGUUCAAGAAUCAAGUCUAACACGAAGUGGG
This 257-nucleotide long non-coding RNA is filed under the name Vigna radiata. Its description in RNAcentral is "long non-coding RNA (VRAD_LNC010137)". Lineage: Eukaryota; Viridiplantae; Streptophyta; Magnoliopsida; Fabales; Fabaceae. The record is from RNAcentral.